GUGGCUAUAGUUCAAUGGUAGAACACUGGUUUGUGGUACCAGGUACGAGGGUCCGAUUCCCUCUAGCCACCCCG
Molecule: transfer RNA, 74 nt
Filed under: Candidatus Moraniibacteriota bacterium
Lineage: Bacteria; Candidatus Moraniibacteriota
Description: tRNA-His
Rfam family: tRNA
About the family: Transfer RNA (tRNA) molecules are approximately 80 nucleotides in length.
Source: RNAcentral